UGCGUAGGCGGUUUGGUAAGUCUUGUGUGAAAUCUCCAGGCUCAACUUGGAGUCUGCACGAGAAACUGCCGGGCUUGAGUAUGGGAGAGGUGAGUGGAAUUUCCGGUGUAGCGGUGAAAUGCGUAGAUAUCGGAAGGAACACCUGUGGCGAAAGCGGCUCACUGGACCAUAACUGACGCUGAUGCACGAAAGCUAGGGGAGCAAACAGGAUUAGAUACCCUGGUAGUCCUAGCCCUAAACGAUGACUGCUUGGUGUGACGGGUACCCAAUCCCGCCGUGCCGUAGCUAACGCGUUAAGCAGUCCGCCUGGGGAGUACGGUCGCAAGGCUGAA
Molecule: ribosomal RNA, 332 nt
Filed under: uncultured bacterium
Lineage: Bacteria
Description: bacterial SSU rRNA
Rfam family: Bacterial small subunit ribosomal RNA
Source: RNAcentral